Molecule: transfer RNA, 76 nt
Filed under: Clostridiales bacterium
Lineage: Bacteria; Bacillati; Bacillota; Clostridia; Eubacteriales
Also listed under: 2 other names
Description: tRNA-Ile
Rfam family: tRNA
About the family: Transfer RNA (tRNA) molecules are approximately 80 nucleotides in length.
Source: RNAcentral
GGGCCUUUAGCUCAGUUGGCAGAGCAACCGGCUCAUAACCGGUCGGUCCGGGGUUCGAAUCCCUGAAGGCCCACCA